Molecule: ribosomal RNA, 421 nt
Filed under: Fusobacteriota bacterium
Lineage: Bacteria; Fusobacteriati; Fusobacteriota
Description: Fusobacteria bacterium partial 16S ribosomal RNA
Rfam family: Bacterial small subunit ribosomal RNA
Source: RNAcentral
UGGGGAAUUUUGCACAAUGGGGGGAACCUUGAUGCAGCGACGCCGCGUGAGGGAUGGAGGCCUUCGGGUUGUGAACCUCUUUCGCUCGUGUGCAAGCCGCGAUUUGGGUAGUGGUGAGUGUAGCGGGUAAAGAAGCGCCGGCUAACUACGUGCCAGCAGCCGCGGUAAUACGUAGGGCGCGAGCGUUGUCCGGAUUUAUUGGGCGUAAAGGGCUUGUAGGCGGUUUGUCGCGCCUGUCGUGUAAUCCUCUGGCUUAACUGGGGGUGUGCGGUGGGUACGGGCAAGCUUGAGUGCGGUAGGGGAGGGUGGAAUUCCUGGUGUAGCGGGGGAAUGCGCAGAUAGCAGGAGGAACACCGGUGGCGAAGGCGGGUCUCUGGGCCGUUACUGACGCUGAGGAGCGAAAGCGUGGGGAGCGAACAGG